Long non-coding RNA from Perca fluviatilis (European perch), 438 nucleotides. RefSeq lists it as uncharacterized. The record is from RefSeq and is a predicted model, not a curated record. NCBI's taxonomy places the organism in Eukaryota, Metazoa, Chordata, Actinopteri, Perciformes, Percidae. The transcript is spliced from 3 exons.
UUGCAAUGUGUACAGUCCCACAGGGCAGACCAUGUUGUGAACCUCAGGGCUCCCCGAGGACUCUAACACACAGUAGUUCUGCUCAGGAGACGUUUGUCAAAGGACCAUGAGUUUGUCUGUAAUCCUCUUUCUCCAACUGUGGGGGAUUGUGGAAGUCUCCUCAUCACAGAAUGGUUCACCAUCGAGCUCUAACCCCCGCCUGCAGAUGGAGGGGUUACAGUAAUAGGUUUACCAGAAAAUGACAAUCCCAUUCUUCCUGACCGCCCCCCUCGCAUUCAUCUGUGAAGGACCUGGGAAAUAUCUGAAUGGCAGUUCAGUGCUGAGAUGUGGUCAAGAUGGACAGUGGGAUCAUCCAUUCCCCACUUGUGAAGAAAACUGCAAAGUCCCAGGUCUAUCAGACGGCUUACAACUCCCCACACAUGAACCAGGCGAUCAACU